This 468-nucleotide ribosomal RNA is filed under the name uncultured bacterium. RNAcentral's name for it is "partial 16S ribosomal RNA". It matches the Rfam family "Bacterial small subunit ribosomal RNA", at positions 28 to 507 of the family's 1533-position model. The record is from RNAcentral.
GACGAACGCUGGCGGCGUGCUUAACACAUGCAAGUCGAACGGAAAGGCCCUGCUUUUGUGUGGUGCUCGAGUGGCGAACGGGUGAGUAACACGUGAGUAACCUGCCCUUGACUUUGGGAUAACUUUAGGAAACUGUGGCUAAUACCGGAUAGGAGCUCCUGCUGCAUGGUGGGGGUUGGAAAGUUUCGGCGGUUGGGGUUGGACUCGCGGCUUAUCAGCUUGUUGGUGGGGUAGUGGCUUACCAAGACUUUGACGGGUAGCCGGCCUGAGAGGGUGACCGGCCACAUUGGGACUGAGAUACGGCCCAGACUCCUACGGGAGGCAACAGUGGGGAAUAUUGCACAGUGGGCGGAAGCCUGAUGCAGCAACUCCGCGUGCGGGAUGACGGCCUUCGGGUUGUAAACCGCUUUCGCCGGUGACGAAGCGUGAGGGACGGUAAUGGGUAAAGAAGCACCGGCUAACUACGUG